RNAcentral lists this long non-coding RNA (231 nucleotides) under Brassica napus (rape). Its description in RNAcentral is "long non-coding RNA (BNAP_LNC005142)". Lineage: Eukaryota; Viridiplantae; Streptophyta; Magnoliopsida; Brassicales; Brassicaceae. The record is from RNAcentral.
AUCGGAGGCGGCACUGAAGAAGCUGAAGACAGGUAGCGGAUCCGAUGAAUUGCAGGCGUUGAGAAGUCACAGUUUUACGACCGAGGAAACAUAGUCUUCUUGAAAACAUGUUUUUUACUGAUAAGCCAAACUAUAUUAUCCCACACGUUUGCUACUUAAUCAUGCGACCAAAAAUCAGUUUUAGCUAGGAUGGAGUCUCCAUCCUUUUCUACAAGCGACAUUAUCUCCACU